Molecule: RNA transcript, 1742 nt
Organism: Mandrillus leucophaeus (drill)
Lineage: Eukaryota; Metazoa; Chordata; Mammalia; Primates; Cercopithecidae
Gene name: histone H2A type 1-C
Exons: 3
Source: RefSeq, a predicted model, not a curated record
GCCAUGUUUUACACGUUUUUCGAUUUUGUUUGUUUUCUCCUAAGCUUUGACUGCUUGUUUUGGUGCUGUUUUGUGUUAUUGAGAUGUCUGGACGCGGUAAGCAGGGAGGGAAAGCUCGCGCCAAAGCAAAAUCCCGCUCUUCUCGUGCUGGUCUCCAGUUCCCGGUGGGCCGAGUGCACCGCCUGCUCCGCAAAGGCAAUUACGCAGAGCGGGUCGGGGCAGGCGCGCCCGUGUACCUGGCGGCGGUGUUGGAGUACCUGACUGCCGAGAUCCUGGAGCUGGCCGGCAACGCGGCUCGCGACAACAAGAAGACCCGCAUCAUCCCGCGCCACUUGCAGCUGGCCAUCCGUAACGACGAGGAGCUCAACAAGCUGCUAGGCCGGGUGACAAUUGCUCAGGGCGGCGUCCUUCCUAACAUCCAGGCCGUGCUUUUGCCUAAGAAAACCGAGAGUCACCACAAGGCUAAGGGCAAGUGAUUUGACAGGCAUCUGAGCUUCCGGAAACGCUAUCAAACCCAAAGGCUCUUUUCAGAGCCCCCCUACCGUUUCAGAGGAAGAGCUAACCUCACUGCUUGUACGUACGAGGAAAAAAAGCACUAAGAAAAUGUCUUCUAAGGCAGGUAUGGUGUCUCACAUCUGUAAUCCCAGCACUUGGGGAGGCUGAGGUUGCAAAAACUUCUCAUUUCAGAGAGAUGCCAGGAUCCUGAGUGCCUGCCAAACCUACCAAUUCUAAGGAAUAAGUGGAUGGAUGGUGUCAAUGUUCCUACAUCACUGAUUGAUUCUGCAUCCGCAAAUUUUUUUAUUAAAAACAUUCUACAUCGUGUGUGGGGGGGGAUAAGGAGGGUAAAAUGAAGAGAAAGAAAUUAUUGAGGGGAAGUUCUUCUGAGUACAAAAUGUGUUUAAUUUUUAAAAUAAGUAUUACAUUCACAGGGUUCAAACGAUUUGAAGUAAAAAGAUAAAUAGAAAGAAUCCACCCCUCAACUUAACCCCAGGUGAUCACUUUUCUUUUUCUUGUGUAUCUGCCCAGUAUUCAUUCCUGCUAAUAUCAGUCAAUAAUGAAUGAUACGUGUUACCCACUUUUUUCAUCCUUGCCCAGAUAUCAGACUGUAUACACUGUUCUGCACUUGCCCUUUUCAUAACAAUCUAUCUUGGAGAACUUUCCCUGUGAGAACAUACAGAGCUUCCUGUACAUAGUUGCAUGUAUUGCGUUAUGCAAAUGCAUUAUAUUUUAUGUAACCUGUCCACUGUUGGUAGGCACUUGAGUUUUUUUAGUCUUUUGCUAUCAAACAGUUCUGGGAUGAUUAACCCUGAUUUACUGCAAAAUUGAAAUUGCUGUGCUAUUCUGCUGGAAUAGUGGUAAGUGAACAGGAAAUUCCAGUCACUCUUGGGCUAGACUCAAGGUUCUUCUUAAAAAUUACAUGGCCAUCACCAAGUUAGUUGUUUUGAACCUUAAUUUCUUCACCUCUAAAAUGGAGGUAAUAUUUACCUUAAUAGACUAUGAGAAUGAAGAUUAUGUAUGUGAAUUGUUUGAUGCUCUAAAGAACACCACAAAUAAAAUUAUUUUAUUUUGAAAUUAAAUUUAAUUUUAAUUGUACUGUGUGUAAUUUCUUAAUUUUGAAAUAAUUUUAUUUGUAAUGUGCAUAAUCUUAUUUAAUGUAUAAUGUAUAUACUACAUUGUAAUAGAAGAUUUCCCAAAUUCCAGCCUGGCAUGAGGUAAUAAAAGGUAAUGCAAAGGGAGAGGAA